GGCUCAGGACGAACGCUGGCGGCGUGCUUAACACAUGCAAGUCGAACGAUGAAGCCCAGCUUGCUGGGUGGAUUAGUGGCGAACGGGUGAGUAACACGUGAGUAACCUGCCCCUGACUUCGGGAUAACUACGAGAAAUCGUGGCUAAUACCGGAUAUGACACGUGCCUGCAUGGGUGUGUGUGGAAAGAUUUAUCGGUUGGGGAUGGGCUCGCGGCCUAUCAGCUUGUUGGUGGGGUGAUGGCCUACCAAGGCGACGACGGGUAGCCGGCCUGAGAGGGUGACCGGCCACACUGGGACUGAGACACGGCCCAGACUCCUACGGGAGGCAGCAGUGGGGAAUAUUGCACAAUGGGCGCAAGCCUGAUGCAGCGACGCCGCGUGAGGGAUGACGGCCUUCGGGUUGUAAACCUCUUUCAGUAGGGAAGAAGCUCUUC
This 435-nucleotide ribosomal RNA is filed under the name Georgenia satyanarayanai. RNAcentral's name for it is "bacterial SSU rRNA". It matches the Rfam family "Bacterial small subunit ribosomal RNA", at positions 21 to 456 of the family's 1533-position model. Lineage: Bacteria; Bacillati; Actinomycetota; Actinomycetes; Allobogoriellales; Allobogoriellaceae. The record is from RNAcentral.